Molecule: transfer RNA, 95 nt
Organism: Rhizoctonia solani AG-1 IA
Lineage: Eukaryota; Fungi; Basidiomycota; Agaricomycetes; Cantharellales; Ceratobasidiaceae
Rfam family: tRNA
About the family: Transfer RNA (tRNA) molecules are approximately 80 nucleotides in length. Their secondary structure includes four short double-helical elements and three loops (D, anti-codon, and T loops).
Source: Rfam
GCCCUUAUAGCUCAGUGGUAGAGCGCAUCACUCGUAUCUAUAGCUACGUAAUUUUGCACAUGAUGAGGUCCCAGGUUCAAUCCCUGGUGGGGGCA